GACGAACGCUGGCGGCGUGCUUAACACAUGCAAGUCGAACGGAAAGGCCCUGCUUUUGUGGGGUGCUCGAGUGGCGAACGGGUGAGUAACACGUGAGUAACCUGCCCUUGACUUUGGGAUAACUUCAGGAAACUGGGGCUAAUACCGGAUAGGAGCUCCUGCUGCAUGGUGGGGGUUGGAAAGUUUCGGCGGUUGGGGAUGGACUCGCGGCUUAUCAGCUUGUUGGUGGGGUAGUGGCUUACCAAGGCUUUGACGGGUAGCCGGCCUGAGAGGGUGACCGGCCACAUUGGGACUGAGAUACGGCCCAGACUCCUACGGGAGGCAGCAGUGGGGAAUAUUGCACAAUGGGCGGAAGCCUGAUGCAGCAACGCCGCGUGCGGGAUGACGGCCUUCGGGUUGUAAACCGCUUUCGCCUGUGACGAAGCGUGAGUGACGGUAAUGGGUAAAGAAGCACCGGCUAACUACGUGCCAGCAGCCGCGGUGAUACGUAGGGUGCGAGCGUUGUCCGGAUUUAUUGGGCGUAAAGGGCUCGUAGGUGGUUGAUCGCGUCGGAAGUGUAAUCUUGGGGCUUAACCCUGAGCGUGCUUUCGAUACGGGUUGACUUGAGGAAGGUAGGGGAGAAUGGAAUUCCUGGUGGAGCGGUGGAAUGCGCAGAUAUCAGGAGGAACACCAGUGGCGAAGGCGGUUCUCUGGGCCUUUCCUGACGCUGAGGAGCGAAAGCGUGGGGAGCGAACA
This 735-nucleotide ribosomal RNA is filed under the name Cutibacterium acnes. Its description in RNAcentral is "bacterial SSU rRNA". It matches the Rfam family "Bacterial small subunit ribosomal RNA", at positions 28 to 774 of the family's 1533-position model. Lineage: Bacteria; Bacillati; Actinomycetota; Actinomycetes; Propionibacteriales; Propionibacteriaceae. The record is from RNAcentral.